This 202-nucleotide long non-coding RNA is filed under the name Mytilus galloprovincialis (Mediterranean mussel). Lineage: Eukaryota; Metazoa; Mollusca; Bivalvia; Mytilida; Mytilidae. The record is from RNAcentral.
GAUUAGUUAUCUGCCCUUGAUACAAGGGCAUUAUGGCAGCAUGUUUACAUCGGCUCCAGUAAAAUGUGAUUUGCAAAUGUUUGCAACUGUUUUUGAGCGGUAAAAUUAUGGUAAAGUGGUUUAAUAAACUUAAAUGGCAUCAAAUCAAGAGCCUGAACAACCAAAGAAAAAGAAAAAACGGAUUAGAAGUAAAAACAAAGAC